Molecule: ribosomal RNA, 2902 nt
Filed under: Klebsiella pneumoniae
Lineage: Bacteria; Pseudomonadati; Pseudomonadota; Gammaproteobacteria; Enterobacterales; Enterobacteriaceae
Also listed under: 1 other name
Description: 23S ribosomal RNA
Rfam family: Bacterial large subunit ribosomal RNA
Source: RNAcentral
GGUUAAGCGACUAAGCGUACACGGUGGAUGCCCUGGCAGUCAGAGGCGAUGAAGGACGUGCUAAUCUGCGAAAAGCGUCGGUAAGGUGAUAUGAACCGUUAUAACCGGCGAUGUCCGAAUGGGGAAACCCAGUGCAAUUCGUUGCACUAUCGUUAACUGAAUACAUAGGUUAACGAGGCGAACCGGGGGAACUGAAACAUCUAAGUACCCCGAGGAAAAGAAAUCAACCGAGAUUCCCCCAGUAGCGGCGAGCGAACGGGGAGCAGCCCAGAGUCUGAAUCAGCUUGUGUGUUAGUGGAACGGUCUGGAAAGUCCGACGGUACAGGGUGAUAGUCCCGUACACCAAAAUGCACAGGUUGUGAACUCGAAGAGUAGGGCGGGACACGUGGUAUCCUGUCUGAAUAUGGGGGGACCAUCCUCCAAGGCUAAAUACUCCUGACUGACCGAUAGUGAACCAGUACCGUGAGGGAAAGGCGAAAAGAACCCCGGCGAGGGGAGUGAAAAAGAACCUGAAACCGUGUACGUACAAGCAGUGGGAGCACCUUCGGGUGUGACUGCGUACCUUUUGUAUAAUGGGUCAGCGACUUAUAUUCUGUAGCAAGGUUAACCGUAUAGGGGAGCCGCAGGGAAACCGAGUCUUAACUGGGCGUUAAGUUGCAGGGUAUAGACCCGAAACCCGGUGAUCUAGCCAUGGGCAGGUUGAAGGUUGGGUAACACUAACUGGAGGACCGAACCGACUAAUGUUGAAAAAUUAGCGGAUGACUUGUGGCUGGGGGUGAAAGGCCAAUCAAACCGGGAGAUAGCUGGUUCUCCCCGAAAGCUAUUUAGGUAGCGCCUCGUGAACUCAUCUUCGGGGGUAGAGCACUGUUUCGGCUAGGGGGUCAUCCCGACUUACCAACCCGAUGCAAACUACGAAUACCGAAGAAUGUUAUCACGGGAGACACACGGCGGGUGCUAACGUCCGUCGUGAAGAGGGAAACAACCCAGACCGCCAGCUAAGGUCCCAAAGUCAUGGUUAAGUGGGAAACGAUGUGGGAAGGCACAGACAGCCAGGAUGUUGGCUUAGAAGCAGCCAUCAUUUAAAGAAAGCGUAAUAGCUCACUGGUCGAGUCGGCCUGCGCGGAAGAUGUAACGGGGCUAAACCAUGCACCGAAGCUGCGGCAGCGACACUAUGUGUUGUUGGGUAGGGGAGCGUUCUGUAAGCCUGCGAAGGUGACCUGUGAGGGUUGCUGGAGGUAUCAGAAGUGCGAAUGCUGACAUAAGUAACGAUAAAGCGGGUGAAAUGCCCGCUCGCCGGAAGACCAAGGGUUCCUGUCCAACGUUAAUCGGGGCAGGGUGAGUCGACCCCUAAGGCGAGGCCGAAAGGCGUAGUCGAUGGGAAACAGGUUAAUAUUCCUGUACUUGGUGUUACUGCGAAGGGGGGACGGAGAAGGCUAUGUUAGCCGGGCGACGGUUGUCCCGGUUUAAGCAUGUAGGCUGGUUGUCCAGGCAAAUCCGGAUAAUCAAGGCUGAGGUGUGAUGACGAGGCACUACGGUGCUGAAGUAACAAAUGCCCUGCUUCCAGGAAAAGCCUCUAAGCAUCAGGUAACAUUAAAUCGUACCCCAAACCGACACAGGUGGUCAGGUAGAGAAUACCAAGGCGCUUGAGAGAACUCGGGUGAAGGAACUAGGCAAAAUGGUGCCGUAACUUCGGGAGAAGGCACGCUGGUGUGUAGGUGAAGUCCCUGCGGAUGGAGCUGAGACCAGUCGAAGAUACCAGCUGGCUGCAACUGUUUAUUAAAAACACAGCACUGUGCAAACACGAAAGUGGACGUAUACGGUGUGACGCCUGCCCGGUGCCGGAAGGUUAAUUGAUGGGGUUAUCCGUAAGGAGAAGCUCUUGAUCGAAGCCCCGGUAAACGGCGGCCGUAACUAUAACGGUCCUAAGGUAGCGAAAUUCCUUGUCGGGUAAGUUCCGACCUGCACGAAUGGCGUAAUGAUGGCCAGGCUGUCUCCACCCGAGACUCAGUGAAAUUGAACUCGCUGUGAAGAUGCAGUGUACCCGCGGCAAGACGGAAAGACCCCGUGAACCUUUACUAUAGCUUGACACUGAACAUUGAGCCUUGAUGUGUAGGAUAGGUGGGAGGCUUUGAAGCGUGGACGCCAGUCUGCGUGGAGCCAACCUUGAAAUACCACCCUUUAAUGUUUGAUGUUCUAACGUUGGCCCCUGACCGGGGUUGCGGACAGUGUCUGGUGGGUAGUUUGACUGGGGCGGUCUCCUCCCAAAGCGUAACGGAGGAGCACGAAGGUUAGCUAAUCCUGGUCGGACAUCAGGAGGUUAGUGCAAUGGCAUAAGCUAGCUUGACUGCGAGCGUGACGGCGCGAGCAGGUGCGAAAGCAGGUCAUAGUGAUCCGGUGGUUCUGAAUGGAAGGGCCAUCGCUCAACGGAUAAAAGGUACUCCGGGGAUAACAGGCUGAUACCGCCCAAGAGUUCAUAUCGACGGCGGUGUUUGGCACCUCGAUGUCGGCUCAUCACAUCCUGGGGCUGAAGUAGGUCCCAAGGGUAUGGCUGUUCGCCAUUUAAAGUGGUACGCGAGCUGGGUUUAGAACGUCGUGAGACAGUUCGGUCCCUAUCUGCCGUGGGCGCUGGAGAAUUGAGGGGGGCUGCUCCUAGUACGAGAGGACCGGAGUGGACGCAUCACUGGUGUUCGGGUUGUCAUGCCAAUGGCACUGCCCGGUAGCUAAAUGCGGAAGAGAUAAGUGCUGAAAGCAUCUAAGCACGAAACUUGCCCCGAGAUGAGUUCUCCCUGAGACUUUAAGUCUCCUGAAGGAACGUUGAAGACGACGACGUUGAUAGGCCGGGUGUGUAAGCGCAGCGAUGCGUUGAGCUAACCGGUACUAAUGAACCGUGAGGCUUAACCUU